GAUGAACGCUGGCGGCGUGCCUAAUACAUGCAAGUCGAGCGAACGGACGAGAAGCUUGCUUCUCUGAUGUUAGCGGCGGACGGGUGAGUAACACGUGGAUAACCUACCUAUAAGACUGGGAUAACUUCGGGAAACCGGAGCUAAUACCGGAUAAUAUUUUGAACCGCAUGGCUCAAAAGUAAAAGACGGUCUUGCUGUCACUUAUAGAUGGAUCCGCGCUGCAUUAGCUAGUUGGUAAGGUAACGGCUUACCAAGGCAACGAUGCAUAGCCGACCUGAGAGGGUGAUCGGCCACACUGGAACUGAGACACGGUCCAGACUCCUACGGGAGGCAGCAGUAGGGAAUCUUCCGCAAUGGGCGAAAGCCUGACGGAGCAACGCCGCGUGAGUGAUGAAGGUCUUCGGAUCGUAAAACUCUGUUAUUAGGGAAGAAUAUAUGUGUAAGUAACUGUGCACAUCUUGACGGUACCUAAUCAGAAAGCCACGGCUAACUACGUGCCAGCAGCCGCGGUAAUACGUAGGUGGCAAGCGUUAUCCGGAAUUAUUGGGCGUAAAGCGCGCGUAGGCGGUUUUUUAAGUCUGAUGUGAAAGCCCACGGCUCAACCGUGGAGGGUCAUUGGAAACUGGAAAACUUGAGUGCAGAAGAGGAAAGUGGAAUUCCAUGUGUAGCGGUGAAAUGCGCAGAGAUAUGGAGGAACACCAGUGGCGAAGGCGACUUUCUGGUCUGUAACUGACGCUGAUGUGCGAAAGCGUGGGGAUCAAACAGGAUUAGAUACCCUGGUAGUCCACGCCGUAAACGAUGAGUGCUAAGUGUUAGGGGGUUUCCGCCCCUUAGUGCUGCAGCUAACGCAUUAAGCACUCCGCCUGGGGAGUACGACCGCAAGGUUGAAACUCAAAGGAAUUGACGGGGACCCGCACAAGCGGUGGAGCAUGUGGUUUAAUUCGAAGCAACGCGAAGAACCUUACCAAAUCUUGACAUCCUUUGACAACUCUAGAGAUAGAGCCUUCCCCUUCGGGGGACAAAGUGACAGGUGGUGCAUGGUUGUCGUCAGCUCGUGUCGUGAGAUGUUGGGUUAAGUCCCGCAACGAGCGCAACCCUUAAGCUUAGUUGCCAUCAUUAAGUUGGGCACUCUAAGUUGACUGCCGGUGACAAACCGGAGGAAGGUGGGGAUGACGUCAAAUCAUCAUGCCCCUUAUGAUUUGGGCUACACACGUGCUACAAUGGACAAUACAAAGGGCAGCGAAACCGCGAGGUCAAGCAAAUCCCAUAAAGUUGUUCUCAGUUCGGAUUGUAGUCUGCAACUCGACUGCAUGAAGCUGGAAUCGCUAGUAAUCGUAGAUCAGCAUGCUACGGUGAAUACGUUCCCGGGUCU
This 1372-nucleotide ribosomal RNA is filed under the name uncultured bacterium. RNAcentral describes it as "bacterial SSU rRNA". It matches the Rfam family "Bacterial small subunit ribosomal RNA", at positions 28 to 1381 of the family's 1533-position model. The record is from RNAcentral.